This 578-nucleotide ribosomal RNA is filed under the name uncultured bacterium. RNAcentral's name for it is "bacterial SSU rRNA". It matches the Rfam family "Bacterial small subunit ribosomal RNA", at positions 338 to 916 of the family's 1533-position model. The record is from RNAcentral.
CCUACGGGAGGCAGCAGUGAGGAAUAUUGGACAAUGGGCGCAAGCCUGAUCCAGCCAUGCCGCGUGCAGGAAGAAUGCCCUAUGGGUUGUAAACUGCUUUUAUUUAGGAAGAAACCCCCCAACGUGUUGGGGGCUGACGGUACUAAACGAAUAAGGACCGGCUAACUCCGUGCCAGCAGCCGCGGUAAUACGGAGGGUCCAAGCGUUAUCCGGAAUCAUUGGGUUUAAAGGGUCCGCAGGCGGGCUUUUAAGUCAGUGGUGAAAUCUCUUGGCUUAACCAAGAAAUUGCCAUUGAAACUAUAAGUCUUGAAUUCGGUCGAAGUGGGCGGAAUGUGUCAUGUAGCGGUGAAAUGCAUAGAUAUGACACAGAACACCGAUAGCGAAUGCAGCUCACUAGGCCUGAAUUGACGCUCAGGGACGAAAGCGUGGGGAGCGAACAGGAUUAGAUACCCUGGUAGUCCACGCCGUAAACGAUCAUUACUCGAUAUCAGCGAUAUACAGUUGGUGUCUAAGCGAAAGUGAUAAGUAAUGCACCUGGGGAGUACGAUCGCAAGGUUGAAACUGGAAGGAAUUGACGG